Manacus vitellinus (golden-collared manakin) is the source of this 225-nucleotide long non-coding RNA. RefSeq lists it as uncharacterized. NCBI's taxonomy places the organism in Eukaryota, Metazoa, Chordata, Aves, Passeriformes, Pipridae. The transcript has 2 exons. The record is from RefSeq and is a predicted model, not a curated record.
UUACUCGUGUGUUGCAGAGGCAUGGGGCUGUUAUGGGAGACAGGUUGAAUUUGAUGAAGAAAUAAACUAAGAGAGUUAAACUGUGUGAAGUCUCUAAGGAAUGAGAAGCCAUUGGCCAUCUUAAUUCUGAGAAUAGAGAAAGUGCAUAGAAAUUUUGUUACCUUCUGAAGACCUGGUAGUGUAUGUGGGAGUUGGUCCUGUGUCAGCCAACCUAAUAAAAAAACC